Equus caballus (horse) is the source of this 518-nucleotide non-coding RNA. The record is from RefSeq and is a predicted model, not a curated record. NCBI's taxonomy places the organism in Eukaryota, Metazoa, Chordata, Mammalia, Perissodactyla, Equidae.
AAUGCUGCUGGUUUCACUGCUGGAGAUUGAAAUGGGGGAAGGACUACGGGUCUCCAAGUCAGUUGGACCAGGACUGGUUGCGUUAUUAUCCUUUGUACCAUCAUCACUAUGAGAGUCCUGCAAACAAAAGGAGCUCUGGUCCUCAGUUGCUUCACGAAGUCGGGAGCAUGUUGCCGCUGGUGGUCAUACAGUGUUACUAGUGGAGCUCCUGAAGCAGUGACAGCAUCUGAGAUAUGAGUUCGAGUUAACUCUGCCAUCUAAAUAUGAACACAAACAAAGCAAAAGCAGAUGUAAAAAAGAUAAUAUCACAGAAGAACUGAGAGGGAACAUAGUGUUUUGGAAAGAUCACUGGAUUGAAAGCAAGCAAAUUCUGCAAUAAUAGGUAAAAUAUUGUGGAUAGCAAAGAGAAGAGGAAAAACACAGAAAGCUAAAGAAGAAAACUCCACGAAUACCUUUAUGAUCUGAGCCAGAGACACACUCUCCUGCUGAGCAAGCGAAAUGCCUCUAACUCUUUCUAC